AUUUCUCCAUACAUUCAUGAGGUUAAAGCUUCAGUAUUGUGUUUAAACUUCAAUGUUGACAACUUGACAUUCAAACAACAUACAACAUACGCCAAUCUACAUGUUGGAUCAAAGUACUGCAACCUGAUGUUCCUAAAGGUCGAGGAUUUCAGUAAACCAGAUGAGAUUUUGGGGGAAACAGUCCAAGAAAAAUGGGAUACCACACCUGAAAAUCGAUUUAUGGAUAAAGUUGC
Long non-coding RNA from Saccostrea echinata, 233 nucleotides. RefSeq lists it as uncharacterized. Lineage: Eukaryota; Metazoa; Mollusca; Bivalvia; Ostreida; Ostreidae. The record is from RefSeq and is a predicted model, not a curated record. The transcript has 2 exons.